AGAGUUUGAUCCUGGCUCAGGAUGAACGCUGGCGGCGUGCUUAACACAUGCAAGUCGAACGAAGCAGGAGGGUGCUUGCACCUUCCUGCUGAGUGGCGGACGGGUGAGUAACACGUGGAUAAUCUGCCCUGCACAGGGGGACAACAGCUAGAAAUGGCUGCUAAUACCGCAUAAGCCUACAGCCUCGCAUGAGGGAGUAGGAAAAGAAAUUCGGUGCAGGAUGAGUCCGCGUCUGAUUAGCUAGUUGGAGGGGUAAAAGCCCACCAAGGCAACGAUCAGUAGCCGGCCUGAGAGGGCGACCGGCCACAUUGGGACUGAGACACGGCCCAAACUCCUACGGGAGGCAGCAGUGGGGAAUAUUGCACAAUGGGGGGAACCCUGAUGCAGCGACGCCGCGUGAGCGAGGAAGUAUUUCGGUAUGUAAAGCUCUAUCAGCAGGGACGAAAAAAAGACGGUACCUGACUAAGAAGCCCCGGCUAACUACGUG
RNAcentral lists this ribosomal RNA (487 nucleotides) under uncultured Lachnospiraceae bacterium. Its description in RNAcentral is "bacterial SSU rRNA". It matches the Rfam family "Bacterial small subunit ribosomal RNA", at positions 8 to 507 of the family's 1533-position model. The record is from RNAcentral. Lineage: Bacteria; Bacillati; Bacillota; Clostridia; Lachnospirales; Lachnospiraceae.